GCUAUCACUCCAGCCCUAGCACAUAUUGGAAUGAUACAGAGAAGAUUAGCAUGGCCCCUGCACAAGGAUGAUGAAAACACAUGCUUGCAAAAAAAAAAAAAACUUU
Molecule: small nuclear RNA, 106 nt
Organism: Sorex fumeus (smoky shrew)
Lineage: Eukaryota; Metazoa; Chordata; Mammalia; Eulipotyphla; Soricidae
Source: RefSeq, a predicted model, not a curated record